Molecule: ribosomal RNA, 841 nt
Filed under: uncultured archaeon
Lineage: Archaea
Description: bacterial SSU rRNA
Rfam family: Archaeal small subunit ribosomal RNA
Source: RNAcentral
UACUAGCGGUCCAAGUCGCAGCCAUUUUUAUUGGGUCUAAAACAUCCGUAGCUUGCUUGGUAAGUUCCCUGUGAAAUUUUGCAUCUUAAAUGCAGAGCGAGCAGAGAGUACUGCCAGGCUAGAGACUGGGAGACGUAAGAAGUACGUUUAAAGUAGUGGUAAAAUACGUUAAUCUUAAACGGACUCACAAUAGCGAAGGCAUCUUACGAGAACAGUUCUGACAGUCAGGGAUGAAGGCUAGGGGCGCAAAACGGAUUAGAUACCCGUGUAGUCCUAGCAGUAAACACUGCACACUAAACAUCAGUACCUCCUCGAGAGGUAUUGGUGCUGUAGGGAAGCCGAAGAGUGUGCUACCUGGGAAGUAUAGUCGCAAGGCCGAAACUUAAAGGAAUUGGCGGGGAGACACUACAACGGGUGACGCGUGCGGUUCAAUUAGAUUAUACACCGUGAACCUCACCAGGAGCGACAGCAGGAUGAAGGUCAGUCUGAAGGGCUUACCUGACACGCUGAGAGGAGCUGCAUGGCCGACGUCAGCCUGUGCCGUGAGGUGACCUGUUAAAUCAGGUAACAGGCAAGACCCACAUGUAUAUUUACAAUUCAAUAUACAGAUUGCCUUGGUAACGAGGAUGAAAGUGUGGGCUACGUUAGGUGAGUACAGCCCGAAUCCCCUGGGCAACACGCGCGCGUCAAUGGUGGAUACAACGGGAUGCAACUCUGAAAAGAGAAGCUAAUCCCUUAAAGUCCUAUCUUAGUCUAGAUCGAGGUUUGCAACUCAGCCUCGUGACACUGGAAUCCGUAGUAAUCGUUUGUUAUCAACGAACGGUGAAUACGUCACUGUCUC